CCCUUAGAUGUUCUGGGCCGCACGCGCGCUACACUGACGAAUGCAACGAGCUUAUAACCUUGGCCGAAAGGUCUGGGUAAUCUCCAAAUUUCGUCGUGAUGGGGAUAGAUUAUUCCAAUUAUUAAUCUUCAACGAGGAAUGCCUAGUAAGCGCAAGUCAUCAGCUUGCGUUGAUUACGUCCCUGCCCUUUGUACACACCGCCCGUCGCUCCUACCGAUUGAAUGGUCCGGUGAAGCGUUCGGACCGUGGCCUUUGGACGGUUCGCCGUCUGUUGGCUGCGGGAAGUUCGUUAAACCUUAUCAUUUAGAGGAAGGAGAAGUCGUAACA
RNAcentral lists this ribosomal RNA (327 nucleotides) under uncultured eukaryote. RNAcentral's name for it is "partial 18S ribosomal RNA". It matches the Rfam family "Eukaryotic small subunit ribosomal RNA", at positions 1470 to 1796 of the family's 1831-position model. The record is from RNAcentral.